GGCGCCAUAGUGUAGUGGCUAUCACAACGGAUUCUGACUUUCUUUUCAACUGUUGACUUCCGUUAACCCAGGUUCGAACCCUGGUGGCGCCU
Molecule: non-coding RNA, 92 nt
Organism: Lactifluus volemus
Lineage: Eukaryota; Fungi; Basidiomycota; Agaricomycetes; Russulales; Russulaceae
Source: the annotation of a GenBank genome assembly